AGUGGCGGACGGGUGAGUAACGCGUGAGAAUCUGCCUUGGGGUCGGGGACAACCACUGGAAACGGUGGCUAAUACCGGAUAAGCCGAUUGGUGAAAGAUUUAUUGCCCGAAGAGGAGCUCGCGUCUGAUUAGCUAGUUGGUGAGGUAAGAGCUCACCAAGGCAGCGAUCAGUAGCUGGUCUGAGAGGACGAUCAGCCACACUGGGACUGAGACACGGCCCAGACUCCUACGGGAGGCAGCAGUGGGGAAUUUUCCGCAAUGGGCGAAAGCCUGACGGAGCAAGACCGCGUGAGGGAGGAAGGCUCUUGGGUUGUAAACCUCUUUUCUCAGGGAAGAAGCUCUGACGGUACCUGAGGAAUCAGCCUCGGCUAACUCCGUGCCAGCAGCCGCGGUAAUACGGAGGAGGCAAGCGUUAUCCGGAAUUAUUGGGCGUAAAGCGUCCGCAGGUGGCGAUCAAGUCUGCUGUCAAAGCACGGGGCUUAACUCCGUAAAGGCAGUGGAAACUGAAUAGCUAGAGUGCCGUAGGGGUAGAGGGAAUUCCCGGUGUAGCGGUGAAAUGCGUAGAGAUCGGGAAGAACAUCGGUGGCGAAAGCGCUCUACUGGACGGCAACUGACACUCAGGGACGAAAGCUAGGGGAGCGAAUGGGAUUAGAUACCCC
RNAcentral lists this ribosomal RNA (659 nucleotides) under uncultured bacterium. Its description in RNAcentral is "bacterial SSU rRNA". It matches the Rfam family "Bacterial small subunit ribosomal RNA", at positions 94 to 788 of the family's 1533-position model. The record is from RNAcentral.